This 305-nucleotide ribosomal RNA is filed under the name uncultured bacterium. Its description in RNAcentral is "bacterial SSU rRNA". It matches the Rfam family "Bacterial small subunit ribosomal RNA", at positions 333 to 655 of the family's 1533-position model. The record is from RNAcentral.
UAGUUCCUACGGGACGCAGCAGUGGGGAAUAUUGCACAAUGGGCGAAAGCCUGAUGCAGCGACGCCGCGUGAAGGAUGAAGUAUUUCGGUAUGUAAACUUCUAUCAGCAGGGAAGAAAAUGACGGUACCUGACUAAGAAGCCCCGGCUAACUACGUGCCAGCAGCCGCGGUAAUACGUAUGGAGCAAGCGUUAUCCGGAUUUACUGGGUGUAAAGGGAGCGCAGGCGGUCUGGCAAGUCUGAUGUGAAAUACCGGGGCUCAACUCCGGGACUGCAUUGGAAACUGUCAGACUGGAGUGUCGGAGG